AUAAUCAAGUAACCAUUUUCAAGCAUCCCUGGACAUUGUGGGUUUGAUUCAUACUUGCGAUUAAUGUGUAUAUCUUGUGUUUGAUUUGUUGCAGUGCUUUGGAUAAACGGCUUCACAUUAUUCUUCGCUUGAGGCGACAUGUAGCUGAGUCUAAAACAAAAAGAAACUUAAAUUCAUCCAAUGUGGUUGACAUGGGCUUAUUGCAGAAAUUAUUCUUGUAAAAGAAGUUUUUGAUCAUCUAUAUAAAUAAUAGAAUACUACCCGUUUCAUAAUAUUAACUAUUAUAAGUAUCGGUACCCUUUUGAGAUCUUAAUAGAAUUUUCCCUGGUUUAGUUUAACUUUACCUUAGAUCCUUUUAAAAGCACGUGUCAUAAACUAUGGAGAUGAUUGGUAAGUGCCGUGACUUUUAUUUUUUGACUUUAAAAAUAGCUGUAGAUUUUAUUGUUUUAGUUGUAGAUUAAUUAUGUUCAGAGCACUAAAUAUAAAGCUCAAGAA
This 495-nucleotide long non-coding RNA is filed under the name Brassica napus (rape). RNAcentral's name for it is "long non-coding RNA (BNAP_LNC009584)". The record is from RNAcentral. Lineage: Eukaryota; Viridiplantae; Streptophyta; Magnoliopsida; Brassicales; Brassicaceae.